This 536-nucleotide ribosomal RNA is filed under the name uncultured bacterium. Its description in RNAcentral is "bacterial SSU rRNA". It matches the Rfam family "Archaeal small subunit ribosomal RNA", at positions 728 to 1261 of the family's 1478-position model. The record is from RNAcentral.
AAUAGAUACCCAGGUAGUCCCAGCUGUAAACGAUGCAGACUCGGUGAUGAGUUGGCUUUUUGCUAACUCAGUGCCGCAGGGAAGCCGUUAAGUUUGCCGCCUGGGGAGUACGGUCGCAAGACUGAAACGUUAAAGGAAUUGGCGGGGGAGCACCACAAGGGGUGAAGCCUGCGGUUCAAUUGGAGUCAACGCCGGAAAUCUUACCGGGGGCGACAGCAGAGUGAAGGUCAAGCUGAAGACUUUACCAGACAAGCUGAGAGGAGGUGCAUGGCCGUCGCCAGCUCGUGCCGUGAGGUGUCCUGUUAAGUCAGGUAACGAGCGAGAUCCCUGCCUCUAGUUGCUACCAUUAUUCUCAGGAGUAGUGGAGCUAAUUAGAGGGACCGCCGUCGCUGAGACGGAGGAAGGUGGGGGCUACGGCAGGUCAGUAUGCCCCGAAACCCUCGGGCCACACGCGGGCUGCAAUGGUAAGGACAAUGAGUUUCGAUUCCGAAAGGAGGAGGCAAUCUCUAAACCUUACCACAGUUAUGAUUGAGGGG